This 522-nucleotide ribosomal RNA is filed under the name uncultured bacterium. RNAcentral describes it as "bacterial SSU rRNA". It matches the Rfam family "Bacterial small subunit ribosomal RNA", at positions 26 to 518 of the family's 1533-position model. The record is from RNAcentral.
AGGACGAACGCUGGCGGCGUGCCUAAGUACAUGCAAGUCGAACGGUCUUUCUAUGGAAGCUUGCUUCCACGUGAGAAGAUAGUGGCGAACGGGUGAGUAACACGUGGGUAACCUGCCCAUAAGAGGGGGAUAACAUCCGGAAACGGGUGCUAAUACCGCAUAGUUUUCUUGAUCGCAUGAUCGGGAAAGGAAAGACGGCCUUUGUGCUGUCGCUUAUGGAUGGACCCGCGGCGUAUUAGUUAGUUGGUGAGGUAACGGCUCACCAAGACGAUGAUACGUAGCCGACCUGAGAGGGUGAUCGGCCACAUUGGGACUGAGACACGGCCCAAACUCCUACGGGAGGCAGCAGUAGGGAAUCUUCCGCAAUGGACGAAAGUCUGACGGAGCAACGCCGCGUGAGUGAAGAAAAGGUUUUCGGAUCGUAAAACUCUGUUGUCAGAGAAGAACAAGUUGGAGAGUAACUGCUCCAGCCUUGACGGUAUCUGACCAGAAAGCCACGGCUAACUACGUGCCAGCCGCAGC